RNAcentral lists this transfer RNA (68 nucleotides) under Tamandua tetradactyla (southern tamandua). RNAcentral describes it as "transfer RNA-Lys". Lineage: Eukaryota; Metazoa; Chordata; Mammalia; Pilosa; Myrmecophagidae. The record is from RNAcentral.
CAUUAAAGAAGCUAAAAUCAGCAUUAACCUUUUAAGUUAAAGACUGGGACAUAACCUCCCCUUAAUGA